GACGAACGUAGGCGGCGUGCUUAAUACAUGCAAGUCAACUGAAACACCGGUAGCAAUACUGGUGUGGAGGUGGCGCACGGGUGAGUAACACGUAGGUAAUCUGCCUUCAGGUCUGACAUAACUCCGGGAAACCGAAGCUAAUAUCAGAUGAUGCAGCGGCUUGACAUCAAGACAGUUGUUAAAGCUUCGGCGCCUGAAGAUGAGCCUGCGUCUGAUUAGCUAGUUGGCGGGGUAACGGCCCACCAAGGCAACGAUCAGUAGCUGGUCUGAGAGGAUGAUCGGCCACACUGGAACUGAGACACGGUCCAGACUCCUACGGGAGGCAGCAGUAAGGAAUAUUGCUCAAUGGGAGAAAUCCUGAAGCAGCAACGCCGCGUGAGGGAUGAAGGGCUUUUGCUUGUAAACCUCUGUAGCGAGAGAAAAAAACUCCAUUUUAUGGAGCAUGAUGGUAUCUCGAAAGUAAGCCCCGGCUAACUACGUGC
This 482-nucleotide ribosomal RNA is filed under the name uncultured bacterium. RNAcentral describes it as "bacterial SSU rRNA". It matches the Rfam family "Bacterial small subunit ribosomal RNA", at positions 28 to 508 of the family's 1533-position model. The record is from RNAcentral.